AACAAACGCUGGCGGCGUGUCUUAAGCAUGCAAGUUGAGCGGCAAGGAGGAGAGAUCCUCCCUAGAGCGGCGGACUGGUGAGUAACGCGUGGGUAAUCUAUCGUAGGCAUGGGGAUAGUCACUAGAAAUAGUGGGUAAUACCGAAUACGUUCCAUGAGGGGAGUAUUCAUGGAAGAAAGGGUGCUACGGCACUGGCCUUAGGUGAGCUCGCGUCCCAUUAGCUAGUUGGUGAGGUAAAGGCCCACCAAGGCGAUGAUGGGUAGCCGGCCUGAGAGGGUGUACGGCCACACUGGGACUGAGAUACGGCCCAGACUCCUACGGGAGGCAGCAGCUAAGAAUAUUCCGCAAUGGACGAAGGUCUGACGGAGCGACGCCGCGUGGAUGAAGAAGGCCGAAAGGUUGUAAAGUUCUUUUGCUAGGGGAGAAUAAGUGAGGGAGGGAAUGCCCUCAUGAUGACAAGGACUAGCGAAUAAGCCCCGGCCAACUACGUGCCAGCACG
Molecule: ribosomal RNA, 499 nt
Filed under: uncultured bacterium
Lineage: Bacteria
Description: bacterial SSU rRNA
Rfam family: Bacterial small subunit ribosomal RNA
Source: RNAcentral